Molecule: long non-coding RNA, 737 nt
Filed under: Mytilus galloprovincialis (Mediterranean mussel)
Lineage: Eukaryota; Metazoa; Mollusca; Bivalvia; Mytilida; Mytilidae
Source: RNAcentral
CUGAAUAAUGAUCCCCAGUCAGUAUAAGCUCUAGAUAUAUUAAAAGUCUAAGGUACGAACCAUUUGAUUUGACGAAACAGUCUGAGAUAUUUGAGAGAAAAAAAAAUAACUUUGACUGUUGCUUAAACAAAAAAUUCUGGCUGUAUCUGGAUUGACAACAAUAAUCAUGUCCACUGUUCUUGAUAUUAGAAACAAAAAUUUCCAACAGAAUUAUUUAGCAUGAAAUGAACAUGAUGAAUAAAAACGGGCAUUUUUUUGGUGGCAGGGGUUUGCAUGUCUGAACGGAAUGUCUGUUUCGCCGAACUGAUAUAUUAAAUACUUUUUCCAAGACCAGACUGCAACCUGUCUGAUGGGUGUGGCCUUUAUGUCUCCAUUUGUCGACCGUCAUUCAUAAAUUCGUUGUCAUUUCAGACUCAUUCUUAGCCUUUGGUUGAUUUGGAACCCCUCACUUCACUUAAUGUUGUUGGGGAGACAUAUCAACAAAACAUUUGGAUAAGAAAUUGCUUGCUUGUCGUUUUUUAACUUGUGCCGGCCGUAUUGUAAUUUUCAUUGAAUACCCCGGCGUAUAUCUUGUUUACAACAAGAAAUCUGUGAAGUUAUGAUAACUUAACUAUUGACAAGUCCCACAUCAAAUUUAUCAGUUCAUAGCUUUGGAUCCAUACUAUCAUUUUAUGAUAGACAAUUAAUAGAGAGAAUACAGCAUCGAAAAUAUCCAACCCAUACACUUUACAGCAACU